RNAcentral lists this transfer RNA (81 nucleotides) under Coccidioides posadasii C735 delta SOWgp. RNAcentral's name for it is "tRNA-Ser (TGA) (tRNA-Ser-TGA-2-1)". It matches the Rfam family "tRNA". Rfam says of the family: Transfer RNA (tRNA) molecules are approximately 80 nucleotides in length. Lineage: Eukaryota; Fungi; Ascomycota; Eurotiomycetes; Onygenales; Onygenaceae. The record is from RNAcentral. RNAcentral also lists the same sequence under 12 other names.
GGCACUAUGGCAGAGUGGUUAUUGCGUGAGCCUUGAAAGCUCAUCCCUUCGGGGUCAGCGGUUCGAAUCCGCUUGGUGUCG